UACAGAGGGUGCGAGCGUUGUCCGGAAUCACUGGGCGUAAAGGGCGCGUAGGCGGCUUGAUAAGCGUGCGGUGAAAGCCCGGGGCUCAACCCCGGGUCGGCCGUGCGAACUGUCGAGCUGGAGCACUGUAGGGGCAGAUGGAAUUCCGGGUGUAGCGGUGGAAUGCGUAGAGAUCCGGAAGAACACCGGUGGCGGAGGCGGUCUGCUGGGCAGUAGCUGACGCUGAGGCGCGACAGCGUGGGGAGCAAACAGG
Molecule: ribosomal RNA, 253 nt
Filed under: uncultured bacterium
Lineage: Bacteria
Description: partial 16S ribosomal RNA
Rfam family: Bacterial small subunit ribosomal RNA
Source: RNAcentral